UACGUAGGGGGCAAGCGUUGUCCGGAAUCAUUGGGCGUAAAGAGCGCGUAGGCGGUCCGGUAAGUCCGCUGUGAAAGUCAGGGGCUCAACCCUUGAAUGCCGGUGGAAACUGUCGGGCUAGAGUCCGGAAGAGGCGAGUGGAAUUCCUGGUGUAGCGGUGAAAUGCGCAGAUAUCAGGAGGAACACCAAUGGCGAAGGCAGCUCGCUGGGACGGUACUGACGCUGAGGCGCGAAAGCGUGGGGAGCAAACAGG
Molecule: ribosomal RNA, 253 nt
Filed under: uncultured prokaryote
Description: partial 16S ribosomal RNA
Rfam family: Bacterial small subunit ribosomal RNA
Source: RNAcentral